CAGCACCUCAAGUGGUCAGGAUGAUUAUUGGGCCUAAAGCAUCCGUAGCCGGCGCUGUAAGUUUUCGGUUAAAUCUGUACGCUCAACGUACAGGCUGCCGGGAAUACUGCAGCGCUAGGGAGUGGGAGAGGUAGACGGUACUCGGUAGGAAGGGGUAAAAUCCUUUGAUCUAUUGAUGACCACCUGUGGCGAAGGCGGUCUACCAGAACACGUCCGACGGUGAGGGAUGAAAGUUGGGGGAGCAAACCGGAUUAGAUACCCGAGUAGUCC
Molecule: ribosomal RNA, 270 nt
Filed under: uncultured archaeon
Lineage: Archaea
Description: partial 16S ribosomal RNA
Rfam family: Archaeal small subunit ribosomal RNA
Source: RNAcentral